UGCCAGCCGCCGCGGUAAUACGGAGGGUGCAAGCGUUAAUCGGAAUUACUGGGCGUAAAGCGCGUGUAGGCGGUUCGUUAAGUCUGAUGUGAAAGCCCGGGGCUCAACCCCGGAAGUGCAUUGGAAACUGGCGAACUUGAGUACGGGAGAGGAAAGUGGAAUUCCGAGUGUAGGGGUGAAAUGCGUAGAUAUCGGAAGGAACACCAGUGGCGAAGGCGACUUCCUGGGCCAAUACUGACGCUGAGGUGCGAAAGCGUGGGUAGCGAACGGGAUUAGAUA
Molecule: ribosomal RNA, 279 nt
Filed under: uncultured bacterium
Lineage: Bacteria
Description: partial 16S ribosomal RNA
Rfam family: Bacterial small subunit ribosomal RNA
Source: RNAcentral